Molecule: long non-coding RNA, 2440 nt
Organism: Antechinus flavipes (yellow-footed antechinus)
Lineage: Eukaryota; Metazoa; Chordata; Mammalia; Dasyuromorphia; Dasyuridae
Exons: 4
Source: RefSeq, a predicted model, not a curated record
GGUUUUUAAAAGUCCACAUUGGUCCAAAUGAAAUAUUAAGGUUUUUCUGGAAAAUAUCCAAAGGAAAAGGUUAAAGUAUAAUUUAUAAUAUACAUAAUUGGUAAAUGUAAUCUCAAUAUAAAUUGCCUAAAAAUAUUUGUUUCAAAUGAGUAAGAAAUACUAUCAAUUUUGUGCUUUAAAGUUCAGCCUCAAUGGGGGUGGAGGGUGUCUCAAAAUUAAUUAACACAAUGUUUUUACAAGGCUGCACAGUUUUAUCAACUACCUUUUCUUCACAAUAAACCUGAAGGUAGAGAAGGUAGGUAGCGGUGCCUAGCCUAUAGUCACUUGAUCAAUAAAUUUAAGAGCAAAGUUUUAAACCUAAAUUUUCUAACCCCCAAGUCUUGUACUUCUUUUUAUAUAUCCACACUACUUCUGCAUAUAUAUAAGCUUAAUUUUACUUAUAUUUUGCAGUUUUCCUUUUAAAAAUAUAAAUUAUAAAUGAAAAGUAAACUAGGUAUCCCACUCCACUCACAAAAUAUAUCCUGGUACUAAAUAUUAAAAUAUUAAAUAUUAGAAUCUUAUUCCCAAAUAAGUGAAAAAAAAUUAUCCAAUUUGACAGGGCAAAUGAAUACCAAAUAUCUGUUUCAUGACAUCAAGGCAAACCAUGAUCUAUUAAGAUUUCAGGCAGAAGUUCUACGUUAACUAAAACCAUUCUGUAUUUUUAUUCAUAUAUUUUGUGGUGUUCACAUAUUUUUUUUUUGUUUUUGUACAGCAAACAUAACACUGUAGGCCAUGAGAAGCUGCAGCACUAUUGUUUAAUAGCAGCAAGUUAUAUUUUAUAUCAGGAUAUCUGAAUAAUAAAUAGUCUGUUUCUUUGGAUGUGAAUGUUUAAAAUGAAGUACUGCUGCAGCUUCAUAAUGUGAUUGCUAUUUCACAGAGCUUAUACACAAAAAUAUAUAUGCAAUCUUUGUCUAUAUUUUAUACAAAUACAACAGUAGUUUGUGAAUACAUUUUAAGUACAUAUACAUGAUAAGCAAUUUGAUUUCCCAUAUCACAGGAUAGCAAAUUUUAAAUGCAAGAGACAUAUACAAAUUCAGUCUGGAAUGCAGGGUUUUGUUUUUGUUUUCUAUUUUGACUCAAAACUUUAUCAUUAGAAUAUUUUAGCGUUCAAGUCCAAACACUUUUUAAAACUACCUCAAUACAAUAUCAGCAAUUCAACUCAUGUUCAGGUACGAUAUCAUCCAUUUCCUAAUGGUUUCCCAGUUUCUUUUAAAUUCAAAGGGCUUCUAGCAACAUACAGUAUGUUCUUCACUCCACACUAUAUAUAUAAAAAAGCCCAUUAUUCAUUUUAACUAUCAGUCAUCUUAUGAACAAAAGUUGGGCUUGUUCUGGAAGGUUUGCAUGUCCAAGAUUUUCCUUUUGCAAGUGCAUAUGAAUACAUUGUGGUGUUGUAAAAGUUCGUUAAUGACAAAUUAAGUCACAGUAUAAAAAUAUAUCAUACACCUAUAGGUCAAAUAUAGUCCUUUUUCUAUGGGUAAAAAUAUAUCUGAAUGAGACAGGAAAGUUUGUAGCACCAUGAGGAGUUGUUUCCCAAGUUACAUUAGCAGCAUGAUCCAAAAGAAUAAUAUUGCAGGAGUGUUUCUGAGAAGAUAAACAUUCAUUCUGGUUCAACUGUACCACUGAAGCUUAUACUGCAAAGUGUUUAUAUAUGAUUAGCAAUAGUUUUGUGUCAUUUCUAGGGCUAGAUAACUGUUAUCAAAAGACACUGCCUUCCAACCACAGAGCACUGACAACCUUAUUACAUAAGGGCCUUAAGAAUGAUUUACAUACAUCUUUAACUAUGUUGGUUUUAUUCUGUCUUGCUGUAUAUGGGUUGAGGAUCUUCAGGAUAAACCUACAUAAUGAAGAUUUGCCUGCAUGAGUUUUGAGGUGCUCCAAAAGUACCCCUGUGCUUUCAAAAGUCUGCAAACAUACCUUACAGGAAUAGAAAAACACUGAGAAAAGACCGAUGCAGCACAUGGCACAGGCAUGGCUUUCCUGGCAGGCAUGAGUGAAUACUGCUCUUACUACACGUUUGCAUUCCAAGGCCAACUAGUUCUGUUUGGGCAAGUGAACAAGGAAGAAGGAAGGAGGUGAGGAGCAGGAAUUUCUGCCAUGUCACUGCAAAGCUUCCAAAAACACCUGGAGUCAGCUAUCUGCCUAUAGAACAUCAGUGAGUAGUGAGGUCUCAAAACUAUCAUACAGUUAGUGGUAUUUCUAUGACUACAUAUAUCUGAGGGAGAGGGAGAAAGAGUUUUCCUUCUACUAUCUAUGGGACAUUCCCUACUGGACUUUUUUCUAUCAUCUAAAGCAAAAAUAUCGCAAAUGAGUAUUUUAUUAAGGAAGAAAAUUUUCUGAAAAUUUAAAUCACAGCUUCAAGGCUGUGUAUUUAAAAAAAUAAAAAAAAAACAUAAUUUAAAAA